Patella vulgata (common limpet) is the source of this 546-nucleotide long non-coding RNA. RefSeq lists it as uncharacterized. The transcript is spliced from 5 exons. The record is from RefSeq and is a predicted model, not a curated record. Lineage: Eukaryota; Metazoa; Mollusca; Gastropoda; Patellidae.
GUCAAAUAUAAAUCAGAUAUAACAUACAAACUAAGGUGUCAGUGUGUUCAAUGGGGCUACUGGUUUAUACCAGAUUACAGAUCAAGUUACUAGCAGAUGAAAGCUUUAUUUGAAUCGCAAAGUUUCGAAAAUGUUAGAAUCCGUUGUAAAACAGAUUCCUCUGUCUUGGACAACUCAAGCCCUGUUGCUGGGUCUAACAGUUGGUCUGGUAACGUAUUAUUCAUUUGGAAAGAAGAAAUACAAAUUGCCCCCAGGACCCUGGGCGCCUCCUUUGAUUGGUAACCUAAGAGAAAUAAAUUCUUCUCCGCCAAUCUUCAAAAAGUUAUUAAAAUGGAGACAAAAAUACGGUUCUGCGAUCACAAUAUAUUUCGGUCCAUUAAAGUGUGUAACAUUAAACAGUCCUGAUUCUGUCAAUGAAGCUUUGGUAAAGAAAGCAGCUGAUUAUGCUGGUAGAUUUCAGACUUGGUCAAUGGGUUGUUUCUCGGACGGCUACAAGAAUAUUAUAUAUUCUGAUGUCAAUGCGUCAUGGAAACAGCGUAGAAAGAU